This 492-nucleotide ribosomal RNA is filed under the name uncultured bacterium. Its description in RNAcentral is "bacterial SSU rRNA". It matches the Rfam family "Bacterial small subunit ribosomal RNA", at positions 29 to 514 of the family's 1533-position model. The record is from RNAcentral.
AACGAACGCUGGCGGCGCGCCUAAUACAUGCAAGUCGAGCGAGAAGGUGUAGCAAUACACUUGUAAAGCGGCGAACGGGUGAGGAAUACAUGGGUAAUCUACCAUCGAGUGGGGAAUAACCAACCGAAAGGUUGGCUAAUACCGCGUACGCCUCCGAGUCUUCGGGUUCGGAGGGAAAGCUGCACUGUGAGUGUAGCGCUCUUUGAUGAACUCAUGUCCUAUCAGCUUGUUGGUAGGGUAACGGCCUACCAAGGCUUUGACGGGUAGCUGGUCUGAGAGGACGAUCAGCCACACUGGCACUGCGACACGGGCCAGACUCCUACGGGAGGCAGCAGUAAGGAAUAUUGCGCAAUGGGCGAAAGCCUGACGCAGCGACGCCGCGUGGGGGAUGAAGGUCUUCGGAUUGUAAACCCCUUUCGGGAGGGAAGAUGGAGCGAGCAAUCGUUCGGACGGUACCUCCAGAAGCAGCCACGGCCAACUUCGUGCCAGCAG